Molecule: ribosomal RNA, 301 nt
Filed under: uncultured bacterium
Lineage: Bacteria
Description: partial 16S ribosomal RNA
Rfam family: Bacterial small subunit ribosomal RNA
Source: RNAcentral
CAGCAGCCGCGGUAAUACGAGGGGGGCAAGCGUUGUUCGGAAUUAUUGGGCGUAAAGGGUGCGUAGGCGGUUUGGCAAGUCUUGUGUGAAAUCUUCGGGCUCAACCCGAAGCCUGCACGAGAAACUGCCGGGCUUGAGUAUUGGAGAGGUGAGUGGAAUUUCCGGUGUAGCGGUGGAAUGCGUAGAUAUCGGAAGGAACACCUGUGGCGAAAGCGGCUCACCGGACAAUAACUGACGCUGAUGCACGAAAGCUAGGGGAGCAAACAGGAUUAGAUACCCGCGUAGUCCCUGUCUCUUAUAA